Molecule: ribosomal RNA, 253 nt
Filed under: uncultured bacterium
Lineage: Bacteria
Description: partial 16S ribosomal RNA
Rfam family: Bacterial small subunit ribosomal RNA
Source: RNAcentral
UACGUAGGGUGCAAGCGUUAAUCGGAAUUACUGGGCGUAAAGCGUGCGCAGGCGGUUUUGUAAGUUUGUCGUGAAAUCCCCGGGCUCAACCUGGGAAUUGCGAUGGAGACUGCAAGGCUAGAAUCUGGCAGAGGGGGGUAGAAUUCCACGUGUAGCAGUGAAAUGCGUAGAGAUGUGGAGGAACACCGAUGGCGAAGGCAGCCCCCUGGGUCAAGAUUGACGCUCAUGCACGAAAGCGUGGGGAGCAAACAGG